UCUGUUUUUCUCUUACAGCCUUAAGAGGUGUCAGUGGAGCAAAAUCAGCUCCUCUUUUACCAAAAUCCAACAUCAAACCUGCAGUCCGGAGCUCUUCCCCAUCUACAGCCAGUGUUUCAGAGGAACCAGAUGAUCAAUCCAGCAAAGGUGUCAACGGGCUACUCCAGCAUGAACCAGUCAUGGUAAGGCAUCUGUCCUAGAAGAAUUCUGUGCUCUGGAAUCUGCUGCAGACAAGCCCACAUCAGAUCACAGCAUUCUGUGAAAAACAAAAGGAGAGGUCUCAUCAUCUGCUGUAAGACUCAGUGCAGAAUCAUCAGCGGAGUCAUCUUGUGA
RNAcentral lists this long non-coding RNA (333 nucleotides) under Danio rerio (zebrafish). RNAcentral's name for it is "lncRNA si:dkey-236a14.14 (ENSDARG00000097586.2)". The record is from RNAcentral. Lineage: Eukaryota; Metazoa; Chordata; Actinopteri; Cypriniformes; Danionidae.